RNAcentral lists this long non-coding RNA (2012 nucleotides) under Mytilus galloprovincialis (Mediterranean mussel). Lineage: Eukaryota; Metazoa; Mollusca; Bivalvia; Mytilida; Mytilidae. The record is from RNAcentral.
AAGAUAAAGACGUGGAUAAUGUAGGAGUAUUAUAAUAAAUGCAACAAUAAUAUAAUUGAUCAUAAAGUGAUCUUAACAAUAACUUAGGUAUAAAAUAACCUACUAACUUAUACAAGUCACUGUCUUAUAGGAUCAUCUACACAGAUGGUUUUCUCCAGAUCCCAGCCCUCAGUCAUAAAACAUAACUCAGUGAUUGAGUACAAAAUUGGUGCUCAAAACACUAAAUCUAGUAUUUUGAUUGGUUAAUGUCUGAGUCUGAGCUCAAAAUUCUUGUACUAGCGAGGUGAGAUAUAUAACUGAUUAUUGCCAUGGUCUACAUGCAUUUAUAAAAAUUCAAACAAGGGGACUAUAUAUUUUUAAAAAUACAUGAUUUCAAUAAAGGGUUAUAUAUCUAACCUGUAGACUUCUUAUUUUAUUUAUAUAGACCAUAUAAGACAGGGACUUGUAUAUUUCUAUUGAAUGAUUGAUACAAAUCUCAAAAAAAAAGGGACAUACUUGAACUUGACAGUAAAAAAACUAGCUACAAAAAAACUGAAAACAAGUAUUGGUAAAAACAAAAAAAAAUAACCGUUAAGCUUGGGUAAUCAAUACUGCAAAAAAGUGAAUUUUUCGCAUUAUUUUGUACCAUCAUUACUCUAAAUACAGAAACUUUUGUGAUGUUUUUUUAAUUAUUGUGACUAAUUAUUCUCCCUUUUUAGUCCAUUCUUCAUAAAUCAUAAUAAAAAGUACACAUAAUAGUUUCUAAAUAUACAGUAGUUUCUAUAGUUAUUUUUUUCAACAAUCGCCAAACAUUUGCAAUGUAAAAAAUAUCAAGUUUUUUUUUAUCUUAUAAUUUAAACAGAGACAAUAUGCUUAAAUAUACGUUGGUAUGUUAUACAAUGUAAAUAUAAUAAUAUACAAAAAAGAAAGAACCUAUGCUUGGCAAGUGUUUGGUUGGCAAAUUUCUAAAGUGGACCCCAUGGGUAUACAGGGUUGCACCUCCAGUUGUCUUGCCCAUUCUUUUCUCAAGCCAACAGAGGCUAAAACAAUAUUUACACCAAAAAUACUAGAUUAUUUAAUGGACACCUUUAUGUACCUAAAUUCUGUUCAUCAGUUUCCUAGCAAUCUUCUAAAUUUGUUAAAAGGAAAAAAUUCCCAAAGCUAAUGAAUUGGAAUCGUAUACUUUCAAUAAAAUAGGCAAUUAUGACAAAUUGAAAAUAAAUACAGUUUCCUAAGCCCAUAAGCAGACUUCUUCUCAUCAAAACCCCUCAAAAACAAAACAAUAAGGUUUACACCUUUUAACAAAAAAAAAUCACAAAGUACAUGUGUACUUAGUACAGGUAUAGGUACUACAUGUAUAUGGUAUAUAACACAGAUAAAACUAAAAGUGAAUAAAAUACUUCAAGCCUCCAGAGUUAUAACACAGCAAUCCUGGCUGUGGCAGUGUUUUCCCUAGAAUUUUAUUUGAAGAAAGAGGGAUUGACUUCAAGGACUAACUGGGAACUUAAAGAUGGAGUUUAAAUAAUGCUUGCAGACCCACUCAAAUGCAUAAACAUUUGAGGGAAAACACUUAAAGCCUGUUCAAUAUCUAGGAAAUUCAGGAAAUUUAAAAGGCUGAAAAUAAAUAUAACCUUAUCCCUAACAAAAACAUUAAAAUCCUAUACAAUAAACCAAACUUAUAAAACCAUUGCAUGUUAUAUGAUGUAUAUGAGAAAAUAAAAAAUUGCACCAAAUGAACAUAUGUUUACACAUAAAUAUUUAUACCUGAUAAUGAAUAUACAAAAAUACACAUGUAGUAAUAAUAAUUGACAGAUUUUACAUUUGUACAUUUACAGUAAAAAUAACACAUAUCUGGCCUAUACAUAGAAAUCUAUGGUUCUUUACACACUAUACACACAAAAUAUGAUCCUUGAAACACUAUACACAAAAAUAAAGAUUCUUACAUGCUUUACACAACAAGAGUGCACACGCUGAAAUGUCUCGCCUUCUUUACUAAUCAUUGAUAUUAUGUUGAUAGACCUAAAUAUAAAGCU